Molecule: ribosomal RNA, 444 nt
Filed under: Cithaeron jocqueorum
Lineage: Eukaryota; Metazoa; Arthropoda; Arachnida; Araneae; Cithaeronidae
Description: partial 16S ribosomal RNA
Source: RNAcentral
UUCUAUUAGAAAUUAUUAAUAGUAUGAUCUGCUCAAUGAAAAUAAAUAGCCGCAAUUCAACUGUGCUAAGGUAGCAUAAUCAUUCGUUUUUUAAUUAAAAACCAGUAUGAAUGAUUAAACAUUUAUACUAAAGUUUAAAAUUUAUUAAUUUAAAAUUAUCUUAAAUGUAAAAAGACAUUUAUAAAAAAGAAAGACGACAAGACCCUAUUGAACUUAACUAUAGUUAAACUGGGGCAGUUCAUUAAUUAUUAUUUUAAUUUAAAUAAUAUAAAAAAUAUCUAAUAUAAUUAAUUUUAUCAAGUUACCAUAGGGAUAACAGCGCAAUUUUUAUUUAAAGUUCUUAUAUAAAUAAAAGUUUACGACCUCGAUGUUGAAUAAUAACCUAUUUUUUUUUAUCGUGCAAAAACAAUAAAAGGAGGUCUGUUCGACCUUUAAAAAAUUACA